This 1346-nucleotide ribosomal RNA is filed under the name uncultured bacterium. Its description in RNAcentral is "partial 16S ribosomal RNA". It matches the Rfam family "Bacterial small subunit ribosomal RNA", at positions 28 to 1381 of the family's 1533-position model. The record is from RNAcentral.
GACGAACGUUGGCGGCGUGCUUAACACAUGCAAGUCGAACGGAAAGGCCCUGCUUUUGUGGGGUGCUCGAGUGGCGAACGGGUGAGUAACACGUGAGUAACCUGCCCUUGACUUUGGGAUAACUUCAGGAAACUGGGGCUAAUACCGGAUAGGAGCUCCUGCUGCAUGGUGGGGGUUGGAGAGUUUCGGCGGUUGGGGGUGGACUCGCGGCUUAUCAGCUUGUUGGUGGGGUAGUGGCUUACCAAGGCUUUGACGGGUAGCCGGCCUGAGAGGGUGACCGGCCACAUUGGGACUGAGAUACGGCCCAGACUCCUACGGGAGGCAGCAGUGGGGAAUAUUGCACAAUGGGCGGAAGCCUGAUGCAGCAACGCCGCGUGCGGGAUGACGGCCUUCGGGUUGUAAACCGCUUUCGCCUGUGACGAAGCGUGAGUGACGGUAAUGGGUAAAGAAGCACCGGCUAACUACGUGCCAGCAGCCGCGGUGAUACGUAGGGUGCGAGCGUUGUCCGGAUUUAUUGGGCGUAAAGGGCUCGUAGGUGGUUGAUCGCGUCGGAAGUGUAAUCUUGGGGCUUAACCCUGAGCGUGCUUUCGAUACGGGUUGACUUGAGGAAGGUAGGGGAGAAUGGAAUUCCUGGUGGAGCGGUGGAAUGCGCAGAUAUCAGGAGGAACACCAGUGGCGAAGGCGGUUCUCUGGGCCUUUCCUGACGCUGAGGAGCGAAAGCGUGGGGAGCGAACAGGCUUAGAUACCCUGGUAGUCCACGCUGUAAGCGGUGGGUACUAGGUGUGGGGUCCAUUCCACGGGUUCCGUGCCGUAGCUAACGCUUUAAGUACCCCGCCUGGGGAGUACGGCCGCAAGGCUAAAACUCAAAGGAAUUGACGGGGCCCCGCACAAGCGGCGGAGCAUGCGGAUUAAUUCGAUGCAACGCGUAGAACCUUACCUGGGUUUGACAUGGAUCGGGAGUGCUCAGAGAUGGGUGUGCCUCUUUUGGGGUCGGUUCACAGGUGGUGCAUGGCUGUCGUCAGCUCGUGUCGUGAGAUGUUGGGUUAAGUCCCGCAACGAGCGCAACCCUUGUUCACUGUUGCCAGCACGUUAUGGUGGGGACUCAGUGGAGACCGCCGGGGUCAACUCGGAGGAAGGUGGGGAUGACGUCAAGUCAUCAUGCCCCUUAUGUCCAGGGCUUCACGCAUGCUACAAUGGCUGGUACAGAGAGUGGCGAGCCUGUGAGGGUGAGCGAAUCUCGGAAAGCCGGUCUCAGUUCGGAUUGGGGUCUGCAACUCGACCUCAUGAAGUCGGAGUCGCUAGUAAUCGCAGAUCAGCAACGCUGCGGUGAAUACGUUCCCGGGGCU